RNAcentral lists this ribosomal RNA (108 nucleotides) under Hungatella sp. L36. RNAcentral's name for it is "partial 23S ribosomal RNA". It matches the Rfam family "Bacterial large subunit ribosomal RNA", at positions 1 to 107 of the family's 2925-position model. The record is from RNAcentral. Lineage: Bacteria; Bacillati; Bacillota; Clostridia; Lachnospirales; Lachnospiraceae.
UGGUUAAGCUAUAAAGAGCGCAGGGUGGAUGCCUUGGCACUAAGAGCCGAUGAAAGACGUGAUAAGCUGCGAAAAGCUUCGGGGAGGAGCAAAUAUCCUUUGAUCCGG